UCCUCUCUUUUUUAUGUUUAGAAACAUAUUAGCAUCGUUAUGAAAAUUUUUUGAAGCAUAAAGAUACAUUCAUAAAUUAAUACUUAAUAUAAUAAUUGAAUAUGUUUAUCAUUAAUGAAUAUGAUUUCAAGCAUGAAAUGUAGUAGAAUGAUUCAUGGUCGUUUUUAAAAUGCUGAAACUAUUUAGCUGUUAGAUUUUCUGUUAUAUAUUAAGAAUUUAAAUUUACUUUUGAAAAGCAUAUUUUUUAUAAGUCUUCAAAUUUAAGAGGCUUAUAUGUCUUCAUUAAGUGCAUGCUUUAUUUUAUUGUAUUUUGAUAUCUGGUUCUCUUUUGUAGUUCUCUCAAAAAGGCAUGUUAUGUCUAUGUUCUUAAAUGCUAUGCAUCUAAUGAUUUUCCUUCAUCCUUUCAUGAGGCAUUCUGCUAAGCCUCAGUCAAAAGGUGCUGGUGCUGUAAAUUUGGUGGUCCCAGUAUAUACGAUUGCAAUAAUAUUGUUUUUUAUGUAUUCAUUGUUCAAAAUGAUGUUGAAGAAAAACAAUGAAACAUGUCAUUCUACUUCUGUGAAACCAUGUAAAGCAAACGCUAUACAUAAAUUUGCAGAGGUAGAAGAACAUUUGGAGAAAAGAAAAGUAAAUGCCCAUGAAAGGAAAACACAUCGUGUUCUUGAACAGUAUGGAAAGGAGAAAGUUUUAACUGCAUUGAAAACAAUCAUUUUGGAAAUGGAAGAUUUUAAAGGAAACUUUAGUGAAAUGGAUGUGAGACCUACGUCAGUACCAGAUGCUCUUGGUAGCACUUUUGAUAGUAGUGCAUAGCUUCUGUCAAUCAUAGAUUAGGAUUACAUGUUUAUUCUAGAACAAGAAGGCAGAUACUCUGCAGGAGUGCAGUCCAAAGGAAAAAAAAAACCUCCUUCAAGCACUUUCACUUGGACCACCCUUGAGCUAGCUGGAAAUGCUGGUGUUUUCCCCAUGAGUAUGCUUGAAAAGAAGGCUUUCUGACAGUCUAAGUCAUAGAACAUAAGUAAGAAUGAAGAAAUAUGGUUUCUGUACUCUUUAACUGUUGUUUCCAAAUCACCCAAUUUUGAGCGUGGAAAAAAUAUGAUGGGUCUCCAGUUUCCAUGCUGAGGAACUCUUAUGCUAAAGAAUGUGAAAAACUGCCAUAUUCCAUAUUAUAUUGUUAUGUUUUAUUGAUAUCUGCUAUUUGGUUAUAAGGUUGUUAAAGGCCUUCUUGUUAUAUAUACAGUUGUAAAUAAAUUUUUAUGACAAAUUUA
RNAcentral lists this unclassified non-coding RNA (1262 nucleotides) under Stegodyphus dumicola. RNAcentral's name for it is "uncharacterized LOC118204335, transcript variant X1". Lineage: Eukaryota; Metazoa; Arthropoda; Arachnida; Araneae; Eresidae. The record is from RNAcentral.